UAGCCAUUGAUGUUCUUGCACUGACAUCCAUAGAGAUCAAACUGGUCUGAGGAUGUAAUCUGUUCUACGCAGAAGAAUGGUACCGAUCUGAUUUCAGACACGUGAACAAUGAAUAACACCAAGUUGAGUCACCAAACAACCGUUUAGUAUGGCUGGUCACACAUAAUUACCAAAUUCAUUAACAACAAACAACUUUAAAACAAAAUAACAUAGAAGGUGAUGCAAAUCAAUGCAAACAAUGUUCAGCUACAGUACGUGUGCUACAUACCAUGUUCCCAAAAACUUAAGCACAACAGACCUUCCAAGGCAGGUUGUAGAAUCCCCAUCAGUGGAGGUUUUCAAGAACAGGUUGGACAGACACCUGCCAGGGAUUGUCUAGGUUUAUUUAGUCCUUCCUCAGCACAGCAUGUUGU
This is a non-coding RNA of Chelonoidis abingdonii (Abingdon island giant tortoise), 413 nucleotides long. Lineage: Eukaryota; Metazoa; Chordata; Testudines; Testudinidae. The record is from RefSeq and is a predicted model, not a curated record.